RNAcentral lists this long non-coding RNA (1178 nucleotides) under Triticum aestivum (bread wheat). RNAcentral's name for it is "long non-coding RNA (TAES_LNC009622)". Lineage: Eukaryota; Viridiplantae; Streptophyta; Magnoliopsida; Poales; Poaceae. The record is from RNAcentral.
UCUCGCGCGUGGAGUACUUCCCUUUCUUCUCUCAUGCGGUAGCAACUCGGAGGCGCCGUGGGCGGUUCAAGAUCCGGACGAACUCGGCAGGACAACGGCGUUCUCCGGCGUCCCUCUCCACCGUCGACGGUUAUUAUCGCCAGUAAGACCACCCUCCUCCUAAUCUUCCCCUAUCCUCCUCCAUGAACUUCUGAAUUUCUGGGGUUAGGGUUAUUGGUUUUUGGGAGCGGUGUGGGGAAAGAGGAAGAAAACCAAGAAAGGAAAGGAGAGGAAAAUGAGAAGCUCUGGUGAUGGAGGUAAUUCUGGAGAAGGGCUCCUGGUGGUGGGAUCAAUUCAAGGAGGAGGUGGAUAUCAUAGCGGAGGAGAUGAUGGAUGACAUAGAAGAAGAGGAGGAGCUCAAGGCUAUGGAGAAAAAGGAACAACAGUAGAGUAUCAGACUUCGAUCUAGCUGAGGUCAACUUUUGUUUUCACGGGACAUGUGAUCCUCUCUCUGAUUUUGCUUUUGUCUAAAUUUCAUGAAUUUUAAUCCUGAAGUAAAAAAUGAUGGUUCUGACUUAAUUGACUGUUAGUGCUGAUGUACAUAAAGAAUCCGCCUGUACCUAGCUGACAAUGCUAAUUCUCUGUAAAUUUUUGUUAAUCGAAAUUUGCACAUACAUACGAGCAAUAUUUCUUCAAUUAAAGAAUAUUCACCUUACGAGGAUUUUUGUUGUAUGCUAUUCUUAAGAUAAGAUUUGUAUGGGUGAUGCUAGCUUUAUGUUUUGUGAAUUUAUUAGGCAAACCAAUAAUUGAAAUUCUGCCAAGAAAUCUAGGAGCAGAAGAAGAUGUAUGCAAGGGACUUGGAGACAAGGCAAUGGUGCGCAGGUGCGAAAAUUAUUGUUCUAAUUGGUUAGGAUUGGGGUUCAACUGCUCUUCAGCUUAUUAUAUCAAAGUCGGUUGCAUCAGUCACUUCAGGGGAUGGUCAUGUGCGCUAGGAAAUUAGCUUGAUUUGAAGAUACUACAAUCAAGCUUGAUUUGAAGAUACUACAAUCAGGAGACUAUGCAGUUACCUAAUUGGAAUUCACAACCAGUGCCUCUGGCAAUUUCAACAAAUCUAGGAUUCAGUAUAAAGCAAACAAAUUUUUUUGUUAGCAAACAUUGUUGUAUUUUGGAGUUUAUUAAGCCGUCGACAGAAAAUGAAU